This 720-nucleotide ribosomal RNA is filed under the name Micrococcus sp. DWR38. RNAcentral describes it as "bacterial SSU rRNA". It matches the Rfam family "Bacterial small subunit ribosomal RNA", at positions 153 to 884 of the family's 1533-position model. The record is from RNAcentral. Lineage: Bacteria; Bacillati; Actinomycetota; Actinomycetes; Micrococcales; Micrococcaceae.
AAACUGUGGUCUAAUACCGGAUAGGAGCGUCCACCGCAUGGUGGGUGUUGGAAAGAUUUAUCGGUUUUGGAUGGACUCGCGGCCUAUCAGCUUGUUGGUGAGGUAAUGGCUCACCAAGGCGACGACGGGUAGCCGGCCUGAGAGGGUGACCGGCCACACUGGGACUGAGACACGGCCCAAACUCCUACGGGAGGCAGCAGUGGGGAAUAUUGCACAAUGGGCGAAAGCCUGAUGCAGCGACGCCGCGUGAGGGAUGACGGCCUUCGGGUUGUAAACCUCUUUCAGUAGGGAAGAAGCGAAAGUGACGGUACCUGCAGAAGAAGCACCGGCUAACUACGUGCCAGCAGCCGCGGUAAUACGUAGGGUGCGAGCGUUAUCCGGAAUUAUUGGGCGUAAAGAGCUCGUAGGCGGUUUGUCGCGUCUGUCGUGAAAGUCCGGGGCUUAACCCCGGAUCUGCGGUGGGUACGGGCAGACUAGAGUGCAGUAGGGGAGACUGGAAUUCCUGGUGUAGCGGUGGAAUGCGCAGAUAUCAGGAGGAACACCGAUGGCGAAGGCAGGUCUCUGGGCUGUAACUGACGCUGAGGAGCGAAAGCAUGGGGAGCGAACAGGAUUAGAUACCCUGGUAGUCCAUGCCGUAAACGUUGGGCACUAGGUGUGGGGGACCAUUCCACGGUUUCCGCGCCGCAGCUAACGCAUUAAGUGCCCCGCCUGGGGAGUACG